CAUAACUUGCUUAAUCUUAUUAAUGAGACUGAGUUACAAAUAUAUAGUGUCGAGAUUAGGGUUUUACAACACAAGAGGAUAAGCUAAAGCAUGUGGAGUCAAAGAGGGUGGAGCGCUUCUUUUGAAUUGAUCCAAUGAGGUUCUUCACAUGUGUAAGGCAUCUAGUAUCUUGGAUAAGAUCCCUUUUGCCUUUCCAGCUGUGCCAGACUGUCACGCCCAGCUUCUUCCUUUCCCUUGACGGUCACAACUCAUCCUAAGCUUUGGGUAAAGCUUCUUCCCUUCAACCGAGUUACUCGGGUAAGUUUCUUUUACCUUUGGUCGAGUUUGGUCGAUACAAUGUGUACGGCCGGUACGGCCUGUACGGCCUGUACGGUCCAUCCGUACCAAACUCUCCCAAACUCCCCAUGCUCUCCAUUCCUCAACUCUACACUUCCUUAUCUCUUUAUCCCUUCAACCCCUCAUCUCUUCUUCUUAUACUCAGCUCAAUUCAACACUCCCCCUCAAUCUUAGCUUUGUGAAAGUCUAAGAUUGGACAGCCAUGAGAUCUUCCUCAUUAAAAACCUCACCAAG
This 570-nucleotide long non-coding RNA is filed under the name Brassica napus (rape). RNAcentral's name for it is "long non-coding RNA (BNAP_LNC021243)". Lineage: Eukaryota; Viridiplantae; Streptophyta; Magnoliopsida; Brassicales; Brassicaceae. The record is from RNAcentral.